RNAcentral lists this ribosomal RNA (319 nucleotides) under uncultured eukaryote. RNAcentral describes it as "partial 18S ribosomal RNA". It matches the Rfam family "Eukaryotic small subunit ribosomal RNA", at positions 1470 to 1796 of the family's 1831-position model. The record is from RNAcentral.
CCCUUAGAUGUUCUGGGCAGCACGCGCGCUACAAUGGUCUUCGCAAACGGAUGCAUUCUCGAAGGAGAAUGCCAAUCUUGGAAUCUAUGCCUUGGUCGGGACAGUUGCUUGCAAUUUUUCGACUCGAACCAGGAAUUCCUUGUAAUCGUGAUUCAUCACAUCACGAUGAAUACGUCCCUGCCCUUUGUGCACACCGCCCGUCGCUCCUACCGAUCGAAGAGUUAGGUGAAUUGUUUUGAUCGAUAAGAUUUGACUAUGGUCAACUCUCGUUGGGAAAUUCUGUGAAUCUGACUGUUUAGAGGAAGGAAAAGUCGUAACA